AGAGCGAACGCUGGCGGCAGGCCUAACACAUGCAAGUCGAGCGCCCCGCAAGGGGAGCGGCAGACGGGAGAGUAACACGUGGGAACGUACCCUUUGGUUCGGAACAACACAGGGAAACUUGUGCUAAUACCGGAUAAGCCCUUACGGGGAAAGAUUUAUUGCCAAAGGAUCGGCCCGCGUCUGAUUAGCUUGUUGGUGAGGUAACGGCUCACCAAGGCUACGAUCAGUAGCUGGUCUGAGAGGAUGAUCAGCCACAUUGGGACUGAGACACGGCCCAAACUCCUACGGGAGGCAGCAGUGGGGAAUAUUGGACAAUGGGCGCAAGCCUGAUCCAGCCAUGCCGCGUGAGUGAUGAAGGCCCUAGGGUUGUAAAGCUCUUUGUGCGGGAAGAUAAUGACGGUACCGCAAGAAUAAGCCCCGGCUAACUUCGUGCCAGCAGCCGC
Molecule: ribosomal RNA, 443 nt
Filed under: uncultured bacterium
Lineage: Bacteria
Description: SSU rRNA
Rfam family: Bacterial small subunit ribosomal RNA
Source: RNAcentral